CCUGAUGGGGAUCACUGUUCCAAGAACAACAGCCCGAGUCACACGGGCCUGUGUGCACGUCCCAGACGUGGUUUGCAAACUCACGCUCACUCACUUGGUGGAGAGAAAACGAAGGUUCCGCAGGGUUUCAUCAGGACCCACACCCACCACGGGCAGGGGUGCCCCCGGCGCAGAGGGGUCCCUGAGGUUCCGCCAACACCAACCAGCUGGAGCCAGAGGCCUGAAGGAGCAGCUGAGGACCAGGAACGAUGGCAGUGCCUGCGACAGGCUGUGACCAGGACGCGGCAGCUGUGUGUGUCCAGGGCCUGGAGCCGGACGUGAAACACAGAGCCUAAGAAACAGUAGCUUCACCUUAAGGAAUGUACCACUGCGCUUUGAAAUUCAGGCCAGAAAGUGAGCCGCCGCGUGGGGACCCACGAUGCUUGUCUGUGAGAUUCCCACACCAGGACACGUAUUUCCUGCCCGGAAGACUGCUUUUAUUUGUACGUUUGGAAAGGGCUUUCGAUGAAACAGAGGACACCCAGGAUGUCCUUCCCAGGGGAUGAGUUAUCCCGCAUUAUGAAAGUGUCCCAGUUCAUGCCAGGCCCAGGGGUUGAGCGUCGACCUAGGAACCAGGAGGUCACGGUUCGAUUCCCAUUCAGGGCACAGGCCCGGGUUGCGGGCUCGAUCCUCAGUGUGGGGCGUGCAGGAGGCAGCCCAUCGAUGAUUCUCUCUCAUCAUGGAUGCUUCUAUCUCUC
Molecule: long non-coding RNA, 737 nt
Organism: Eptesicus fuscus (big brown bat)
Lineage: Eukaryota; Metazoa; Chordata; Mammalia; Chiroptera; Vespertilionidae
Exons: 3
Source: RefSeq, a predicted model, not a curated record